This is a non-coding RNA of Rhodocollybia butyracea, 101 nucleotides long. The record is from the annotation of a GenBank genome assembly. Lineage: Eukaryota; Fungi; Basidiomycota; Agaricomycetes; Agaricales; Omphalotaceae.
UCCUUCUUAGCUCAAUUGGAGAGCGUGUCACUAGUAUGGUGCUUCCAAAAUUCUGUCUUACUAUGAUGACAAGGUCAGUUGUUCAAAUUAACUAGAAGGAA